Molecule: ribosomal RNA, 549 nt
Filed under: uncultured archaeon
Lineage: Archaea
Description: bacterial SSU rRNA
Rfam family: Archaeal small subunit ribosomal RNA
Source: RNAcentral
UCUGGUCUCGGCGAACCGCUCAGUAACACGUGGAUAACAUGCCCUAAGGUGGGGGAUAAUCUCGGGAAACUGAGGAUAAUACCCCAUAGAUCUUCUAUGCUGGAAUGCUCGAAGGCCGAAAACUCCGGUGCCUUAGGAUUGGUCUGCGGCCUAUCAGGCAGUAGUGGGUGUAAUGGACCCACUAGCCCGUGACGGGUAUGGGCCUUGAGAGAGGGAGCCCAGAGAUGGACUCUGAGACAUGAGUCCAGGCCCUACGGGGCGCAGCAGACGCGAAAACUUCGCAAUGGGGGCAACCCCGACGAGGGAAUUCCAAGUGCCAGCACUUUGUGUUGGCUGUUCUCUUGUCUAAAAAACAAGAGGAGUAAGGGGCGGGUAAGACGGGUGCCAGCCGCCGCGGUAAUACCCGCGCCCCAAGUGGUGGUCGAUAUUAUUGAGCCUAAAACGUCCGUAGCCGGUCUUUUAAAUCCUUGGGUAAAUCGGGCAGCUUAACUGUCCGACUUCCGAGGAGACUGGAAGACUUGGGACCGGGAGAGGUCAGAGGUACUUCUG